Molecule: ribosomal RNA, 497 nt
Filed under: uncultured bacterium
Lineage: Bacteria
Description: bacterial SSU rRNA
Rfam family: Bacterial small subunit ribosomal RNA
Source: RNAcentral
AUUGAACGCUGGCGGUAUGCUUAACACAUGCAAGUCGAACGGUAACAGGCCUUCGGGCGCUGACGAGUGGCGGACGGGUGAGUAACGCGUAGGAAUCUGCCUCAUAGUGGGGGACAACGUGGGGAAACUCACGCUAAUACCGCAUACGCCCUACGGGGAAAGCGGGGGACCUUCGGGCCUCGCGCUAUGAGAUGAGCCUGCGUUAGAUUAGCUAGUUGGUAGGGUAAAGGCCUACCAAGGCGACGAUCUAUAGCUGGUCUGAGAGGACGAUCAGCCACACUGGGACUGAGACACGGCCCAGACUCCUACGGGAGGCAGCAGUGGGGAAUAUUGGACAAUGGGCGCAAGCCUGAUCCAGCAAUACCGCGUGUGUGAAGAAGGCCUUAGGGUUGUAAAGCACUUUCAAUGGGGAGGAAUACCUGGCGGUUAAUACCUGUCAGACUGACAUUACCCAUACAAGAAGCAACCGGCUAACUCCGUGCCAGCAGCCGCGGUAA